UAUUUAGAUCGACAUUUUGGGCGAAAUUUAUUUGUUUAUUUAUUUGGUAAGCCAGAAGCAUUAAAUCAGUCUCCAGAUGCAAGUAAGUUUGCAAACGAAUUAAAGUAUAGAUUUAUCAAUGGUUAGCUUGAGCGAUAAAUUGCUUCGAAUGGCGACAUUUGCCGUAGUGCUCCCCAUCUGUACAGUUCACAUCGGAGCCAUUAAAAAGCGAUAAAUAAACAAUUAAGUGCAACGCUAAGCAAAGUAUCAUAAUUGUUAGAUGUUAAUUGCCAACGUUAAUUGCCAUCAUUUGGCUAGACACGGCACAUGAAUCAAGCGCCUGUUCAAUGGGGCGACCAGUAUGGUGUUUGGCGGGCUUCGGGUUGGACGGAUGCAAAACCAACCCCGGUAGACCCCGGCCUCCCCCCGAGCCCCCGGACCUCCCUCGGCCAGCGUCGCAGUCGCUUUUGAUAAUUUGCAAAUGUGUCAACAGCAACAACAACAACUGCAGCCACAAAAUGGCUAACGAAAAUUGCAAGUGGCAGUUAGACGUAAAUGUUGUUGUUGCUCGGUUGUUGUUGCUGUUGUUGCCGGUUGUUGGCUGAGUACGUGCCGUGCGCAUGCGCAGCUCUCGACUUUGUCGUGGCGCAUUUUGAGUUAUGUGGCAUGCUUGGUAGCUCCGUUAAUAAAUGGUUAUUUUUUUUU
This is a long non-coding RNA of Drosophila montana, 684 nucleotides long. RefSeq lists it as uncharacterized. The record is from RefSeq and is a predicted model, not a curated record. Lineage: Eukaryota; Metazoa; Arthropoda; Insecta; Diptera; Drosophilidae. The transcript is spliced from 2 exons.